Molecule: transfer RNA, 77 nt
Filed under: Acidobacteriota bacterium
Lineage: Bacteria; Pseudomonadati; Acidobacteriota
Description: Acidobacteria bacterium (hot springs metagenome) tRNA-Arg
Rfam family: tRNA
About the family: Transfer RNA (tRNA) molecules are approximately 80 nucleotides in length. Their secondary structure includes four short double-helical elements and three loops (D, anti-codon, and T loops).
Source: RNAcentral
GGACCCGUAGCUCAGAUGGAUAGAGCGGCCGCCUCCUAAGCGGCAGGCCGUGGGUUCGAAUCCCGCCGGGUCCACCA